Molecule: ribosomal RNA, 402 nt
Filed under: uncultured bacterium
Lineage: Bacteria
Description: bacterial SSU rRNA
Rfam family: Bacterial small subunit ribosomal RNA
Source: RNAcentral
UGGGGAAUUUUGGACAAUGGGCGCAAGCCUGAUCCAGCCAUGCCGCGUGAGUGAUGAAGGCCUUAGGGUUGUAAAGCUCUUUCACCCACGACGAUAAUGACGGUAGUGGGAGAAGAAGCCCCGGCUAACUUCGUGCCAGCAGCCGCGGUAAUACGAAGGGGGCUAGCGUUGUUCGGAUUUACUGGGCGUAAAGCGCGCGUAGGCGGACCGUUAAGUCGGAGGUGAAAGCCUGGGGCUCAACCCCAGAACUGCCUUCGAUACUGGCGGUCUCGAGUCCGGGAGAGGUGAGUGGAACUGCCAGUGUAGAGGUGAAAUUCGUAGAUAUUGGCAAGAACACCAGUGGCGAAGGCGGCUCACUGGCCCGGUACUGACGCUGAGGUGCGUAAGCGUGGGGAGCAAACA